This 482-nucleotide ribosomal RNA is filed under the name uncultured bacterium. Its description in RNAcentral is "partial 16S ribosomal RNA". It matches the Rfam family "Bacterial small subunit ribosomal RNA", at positions 30 to 507 of the family's 1533-position model. The record is from RNAcentral.
AUUGAACGCUGGCGGCAUGCCUUACACAUGCAAGUCGAACGGUAACAGGUCUUCGGAUGCUGACGAGUGGCGAACGGGUGAGUAAUACAUCGGAACGUGCCCGAUCGUGGGGGAUAACGAGGCGAAAGCUUUGCUAAUACCGCAUACGAUCUACGGUUGAAAGCGGGGGAUCUUCGGACCUCGCGCGGACGGAGCGGCCGAUGGCAGAUUAGGUAGUUGGUGGGAUAAAAGCUUACCAAGCCGACGAUCUGUAGCUGGUCUGAGAGGAUGAUCAGCCACACUGGGACUGAGACACGGCCCAGACUCCUACGGGAGGCAGCAGUGGGGAAUUUUGGACAAUGGGCGAAAGCCUGAUCCAGCCAUGCCGCGUGCAGGAUGAAGGCCUUCGGGUUGUAAACUGCUUUUGUACGGAACGAAAAGCCUCUUUCUAAUAAAGAGGGGUCAUGACGGUACCGUAAGAAUAAGCACCGGCUAACUACGUG